This 253-nucleotide ribosomal RNA is filed under the name uncultured bacterium. RNAcentral describes it as "partial 16S ribosomal RNA". It matches the Rfam family "Bacterial small subunit ribosomal RNA", at positions 524 to 776 of the family's 1533-position model. The record is from RNAcentral.
UACGAAGGGGGCUAGCGUUGCUCGGAAUGACUGGGCGUAAAGGGCGCGUAGGCGGUUCGUACAGUCAGGCGUGAAAUUCCCGGGCUUAACCUGGGGGCUGCGUUUGAUACGUGCGGGCUUGAGUUCGGAAGAGGGUCGUGGAAUUCCCAGUGUAGAGGUGAAAUUCGUAGAUAUCAGGAGGAACACCUGUGGCGAAAGCGGCUCACUGGACCAUAACUGACGCUGAUGCACGAAAGCUAGGGGAGCAAACAGG